Molecule: small nuclear RNA, 122 nt
Filed under: Neotoma lepida (desert woodrat)
Lineage: Eukaryota; Metazoa; Chordata; Mammalia; Rodentia; Cricetidae
Description: U2 spliceosomal RNA
Rfam family: U2 spliceosomal RNA
About the family: U2 is a small nuclear RNA (snRNA) component of the spliceosome (involved in pre-mRNA splicing). Complementary binding between U2 snRNA (in an area lying towards the 5' end but 3' to hairpin I) and the branchpoint sequence (BPS) of the intron results the bulging out of an unpaired adenosine, on the BPS, which initiates a nucleophilic attack at the intronic 5' splice site, thus starting the first of two transesterification reactions that mediate splicing.
Source: Rfam by way of RNAcentral
UUAACCUCUGGGCCACUUUUGGCUAAGAUCAAGUGUAGUAUCUGUUCUUAUCAGUUUAAUAACAUUCUUAAAAAUGAUGCCUGACCAAAAAUGAAGGCACAACAUUAAAAUAAACAAUUUUA